CAAGGCUUGACAUAUACGAGAACGCUCUAGAAAUAGAGAACUCUUUGGACACUCGUAUACAGGUGGUGCAUGGUUGUCGUCAGCUCGUGUCGUGAGAUGUUGGGUUAAGUCCCGCAACGAGCGCAACCCUCGUUCUAUGUUGCCAGCGCGUUAUGGCGGGAACCCAUAGGAGACUGCCGGGGUCAACUCGGAGGAAGGUGGGGAUGACGUCAAAUCAUCAUGCCCCUUAUGUCUUGGGCUUCACGCAUGCUACAAUGGCCGAUACAAAGGGCUGCAAUACCGUAAGGUGGAGCGAAUCCCAAAAAGUCGGUCUCAGUUCGGAUUGAGGUCUGCAACUCGACCUCAUGAAGUCGGAGUCGCUAGUAAUCGCAGAUCAGCAACGCUGCGGUGAAUACGUUCCC
This 401-nucleotide ribosomal RNA is filed under the name uncultured bacterium. RNAcentral's name for it is "bacterial SSU rRNA". It matches the Rfam family "Bacterial small subunit ribosomal RNA", at positions 975 to 1375 of the family's 1533-position model. The record is from RNAcentral.